Symphalangus syndactylus (siamang) is the source of this 2356-nucleotide long non-coding RNA. RefSeq lists it as uncharacterized. Lineage: Eukaryota; Metazoa; Chordata; Mammalia; Primates; Hylobatidae. The record is from RefSeq and is a predicted model, not a curated record.
GAACCCACAGCUCCAUAAUAUUUCUCUUUCAGUGGGUAACCAGGAUGAAACUGUGGUGUUGCUUGCAGGAGAAGCUUACUACUGGUUUCUACUUCUCCAACCUCAUUGGUGGCUAUGCAGGAAGAGGUCUUCCAACAAUCUGGCAUGAGAGUUGAGCAGCUUCACCCAAUUUUGUGGUAACAUCCUUCAUUUCUUUGCGUAUUCCUGGGGCCUCUCCAGCUGAACGAUAUGAAAGGCACUGUCUCCAGACUGUCUGUAUUCAACCCAGUAUCCAAGAAUUUCUUUGCCACCAUCACAUUCAGGUUUCUCCCACUGUAGAGUGACACUAUCUUUGGAUAUUGAAAGAAUCUCAAGUUCUCCUGGUUGGCUUGGUUUAUCUGAAAUAUUUUAAAAUAAUGAAAAGGGAAUCAGCUUUACUGGUGAAAUCAAAGGACCAAACAUGGCUUGCUUCUUUAAUUUAACCCCUUCUUCUGAAUUCCUUACCAAAUGGAUCUUUGCAAACAACUGGUUCAGAAGCAGGGCUGGUCUCACUUAGGCCGACAUCAUUCUGUGCGAUGAUGCGGAACUGAUACUCAGCAUCGGGAACAAGCCCUGUGACAGUGUACAUUGUGGUGGUGAUCUGAGUCUUGUUGUGUCUGACCCACUUGUCAGUGGAUGUCUCUUUGCGUUCAAUGUAGUAGCCUGUGACUCGAGAACCACCAUCAUCUUUGGGCCGGGACCAGGACAAGCUAACAGAACUCUUGGUUACAUCGAGUACUUCUGGAGGAUUGCUUGGAGGUUCUGGAGGAUCUGUAAAUAUAAGUGGAAAGCACAUAUGUAUUAGAAUACAGUCCCAAGUAUUAUAAGCCAAUGAUUUUCAUUUAAAAACAGAAAAGUGCUAAAAUAAUGUUUAUAAUUUUGUGGUUGAAAGGGCACUUACUCAAUGGUGUUUUUGGUAUGACUGGUUCCUCAGAUUUCAAGGGUUUGCUUAUGCCAAACUGGUUUUCUGCUGAAACACGGAAAUGGUAUUCUACAUUCUCUUUGAGGCCUUUUACCACCAGAGAUGUACCUCGGACUCUGGAAUCAAUGGUAUACCAGGCGGCUUUAGGCACUUCUCGUCUCUCGAGGAUGUAGCCUAAGAUGUCAGCACCACCAUCAUCAGCAGGAGGUCUCCAGCUGACCCUCACAGAGCGGGCUUGGAUGUCAUCAUAUUCCAGUGGCCCUUCUGGACUGUUGGGACUUCCUAUCACCCUGACCUUGAUGUAGACAGCCUUCUUGCCACAUUUGUUUUCCAGAACCAGGUCAUAAGUGCCCGAAUCACCCCUGUCUGCUUCUUUGAUCACAAGCUCAGUGUGUGUUUCAGAUGUUGCAAUCAUGGCACGCUUACUAAUAUCCUGGCCUUCCUUGGUCCAUUUACAUAUUGGGAAUGGUUUUCCUUUGAUUGGUAUGGUAAGUCUGAUGACUCCACCUUGCCUUACAAAGAUACCUUCUUGGUAUCUUUCAUCAAGUUCAUAAUCAGGAUAUUCUGGAAAAAAAGGUAGGGUUUCAAUUUAGCAUUUGAGGUAGGGGGACUAAGAAAUAAGUCUGUGGCAAUUAUUGCAGAAAGUAAAUGAUCAUAUGUCUUACCAAGCAUUUCAGUGACUUUGACUGUUCCUGGUACCUCAGCAGGCUCACCAGGUCCACCAGCAUUACAAGCUAGGACGCGGAACCUGUAUUCCGCACCCUGAGGUAGGUGUGUUAGAGUAUACUCUCGAAUCUUGGUUGGAGUGGUGUUACACUUGGUCCAUUCAUGUUGAUCUACUUUUUGCAUUUCAAUCAAGUAGCCUGUGACUUUAGAUCCUCCUUCAUCUUCUGGAACGCUCCAGGCCAGGGAGACUGAUGUCCUUGUUGUAUCAGUAACCCUUGGGUUUUGUGGCUUUCCUGGAGGAGCUGGGAAUAAGAAUAAGACAAUAUACUGGUUAAAGUUGCUGCAAAGUUGAAAAUUAGCUGUGCCACCUAACAAAUUCAAUGAGUUGUUGAAACAGACUGUUAACAUUAGCCUGUUUUUUGUCUUGUGAAAAUUUUAUUCAUGGCCAGGUGUGGUGGCUCAUGCCUGUAAUCACAGCAUGUUUGGGGGCCGAGGUGGGCAGAUACUUGAGGUCAGGAGUUCAAGAGCAGCCUGGCCAACAUGGUGAAACCCCGUCUCUACUAAAAAUAUAAAAAAUUAACCAUGCGUGGUGGCAGGCACCUGUAAUCCCAGCUACUCAGGAGGCUGAGGCAGAAGAAUUGCUUGAACCUGGGAGACAGAGGUUGCAGCGAGCCAAGAUCAUGCCACUGCACUCCAGCCUGGGCGACAGAGUGAGACUCUGUCUCAAAAAAAAAAAAAAAAAAAUUUUUA